This is a long non-coding RNA of Sciurus carolinensis (gray squirrel), 2109 nucleotides long. RefSeq lists it as uncharacterized. The transcript is spliced from 4 exons. The record is from RefSeq and is a predicted model, not a curated record. Lineage: Eukaryota; Metazoa; Chordata; Mammalia; Rodentia; Sciuridae.
GCGGCGUUCCUGGGCACCGCAGUUUUCUCUUCUCCUUUCACCCCUCCCUUUUACCAUCCCCUUCACUCUUAGAGGCGCCAAGUCUUUGGCCUGCUUCUAAGGUGAACCCAGCUCCCCAAAGUGCCCCCAGUCCUUGAGCCCGGCUGGCUUCAGGCUGUAGGGAGUGGGAUCCCGGGCCCCGGGCGGGCGGGAGGGACGGGACGCGGUGCAGUGUUGUUAUUUCCCCCGCCAAUAUUGCACUCGUCCCGGCCUCCGGCCCCCUCGGCCCCCCGGCCUCCCCCUCACCUCAAGCGGGGCAGCCCCCGCCCUCCUGACUCUCGAUACCGGCUGAUCUAAGAUAGAAUGGAGUGUCGCCGCUGCCACCGUUCCUUCUUGAUUCCCACCCUAUCCCGGAAAAUCCCUAAAACAAGCAAUUGCACUGGCUUAGAAAACAACUGGAACUUUAUGGCAAUCUGCUGUUAUCUUUCCUGGGAAGAGAAAUGGGGCACAGAGGAGGAAUGAUGUGCCCAACACCGCCUACAUUUCCUGUCUGUGGCGAGAAGGGAACUGGAAAGAAGUGGCCGUGGUCUCUACCCAUGGCAUGGAGGAAUUGAGCAAAGGAGGGGUCACUGGUGAGUCCCAGCUAAAGGGGAAGGAAAGGCCUCAGCCUGGGGUCCUCUGGAUGGUCUCAGUCCCUCUCCUCACCGAAUAUAACCAACUUGAGGCCGGUGCAGCAGCUGCCAGCGGUAGGAGGUCUUGUCACGCCAGCCCACAUUUCGUGGGUCAGUCCAUAACAGCCGUACCUGAUCAGGGGUAUGACCAGUAUGCCAGAGGGCAUUCCGGAGGUGCUCACCUGGGCCAGACACUGAUGUCACUGCCUGGGGGUCAUUGGCAAAGACAAUGGAUCAACCACAGGACCAGAGAGAAGGGAACACAAGGCUGGGCUUGCAGCCUCCCCCUGAGCAAAGUCCAAACCAGUCCAACCCUCUUUGGAGCCAGCCUUACCAUCUGAGUCUUUCUGAUUGGGAUUGGGUACCAGACGACAGUUAUCAGGACCAGGAGGCACAUAAUCUGGGACACCAUCAUUGUCGUCAUCCCCAUCACACUCAUCUCCAAGUCCAUCAUUGUCUGAGUCCAACUGGGAGCUAUUCGGCAACUGUGGGCAGUUGUCCUUGGUAUCCUGAUGCCCAUCCCCAUCACUGCUCAGAAGAACAGUCACCAAAUAAAGGCUGUCAAAGGUCCCCCCCACACAUACAUCCUUUCCCUGUCUUCUGCUUAGGGGAUGCUCAAGCCUGCCCUCCAUCCAGACCCCUUGCAGUCAGCCAAAUGUGAAGGUCCAGCAGUAGGAAUGGAAGGUAGACUAUGAGAACAGAGAAUGAAGGCUAAACCAUAGAAAGUAUUGAGAAUGGGCUAGAAGAAAGUAAAAUAUCCCCUGAAAGACUGUGUGUCUCUUGGCCAAGAUCCCACCUGUCUUCAUUGGUGUCACAGACAUCUCCCACCAGGUCACUGUCUGCAUCUGUCUGAGAGAGAGACCUGAUCUCACCAUCUCCUCUUGAUAACUCUGAAGAUGGUGACCCACUUCCCAUCCAAAGGGCAGAGGCUUCAUCCACUAUUUACCCCGCCUCUCCCCUGUACCUGGGUAGGAUUGCUCAUUUCAGGGCAGCUGUCACAAGCAUCUCCCACCCCAUCCUCAUCCCUGUCUGUCUGUAGUGGGUUGGGUACUUUCGGGCAAUUGUCCAAUCCAUUGGGGAUGCCUGGAAGACAUGGGGGAAAGCACAGAGUUGUCAAGAACAUGUCUCACUCUCUCCUAGGUUGGUGAAAGAUCUGAGCUUUGUCCCCAUACAUUGGUUAUCUCCCCUCACCCAGGCGAACUCCCACAGCAAGCCUCCUCAAUUCUCACAGACUUCCUGGCUUCCCUGCCUCAGUCCCUCUAUCCAAACUCCCAGCCUUCCCCUGAGCCCCAGGCCUGCACCAUCCCCAUCCACAUCGUUGUCACAAGCAUCUCCUUCUCCAUUGCCAUCUGUGUCCUUCUGGUCAUUGUUGGGAACGUUGGGGCAGUUGUCACAGGCAUCACCAAAUGAAUCUGUGUCUGAGUUCUGCUGGUCCUUGUUGGGAAACAGUCGGCAGUUG